This 301-nucleotide ribosomal RNA is filed under the name uncultured bacterium. RNAcentral describes it as "partial 16S ribosomal RNA". It matches the Rfam family "Bacterial small subunit ribosomal RNA", at positions 509 to 807 of the family's 1533-position model. The record is from RNAcentral.
CAGUAGCCGCGGUAACACGAAGGGUGCAAGCGUUAAUCGGGAUUACUGGGCGUAAAGCGUGCGUAGGCGGUCUGUUAAGUCUGUUGUGAAAUCCCCGGGCUCAACCUGGGAAUGGCAAUGGAUACUGGCAAGCUAGAGUGUGUCAGAGGAUGGUGGAAUUCCCGGUGUAGCGGUGAAAUGCGUAGAGAUCGGGAGGAACAUCAGUGGCGAAGGCGGCCAUCUGGGACAACACUGACGCUGAGGCACGAAAGCGUGGGGAGCAAACAGGAUUAGAUACCCGCGUAGUCCCUGUCUCUUAUAC